This 494-nucleotide ribosomal RNA is filed under the name uncultured bacterium. RNAcentral's name for it is "partial 16S ribosomal RNA". It matches the Rfam family "Bacterial small subunit ribosomal RNA", at positions 28 to 507 of the family's 1533-position model. The record is from RNAcentral.
GACGAACGCUGGCGGCGUGCUUAACACAUGCAAGUCGAACGGAAAGGCCUGCUUUCCCUUGUGGAUUGCGGGUACUCGAGUGGCGAACGGGUGAGUAACACGUGAGUGAUCUGCCCCCAACUUGGGUAUAAGCCUGGGAAACUGGGUCUAAUUCCCGAUAGGACUGCAGGGUGGUGCCGGUGGUGGAAAACGAUUUUCUAGUGGUUGGGGAUGAGCUCGCGGCCUAUCAGCUUGGUGGUGGGGUAAUGGCCUACCAAGGCGGCGACGGGUAGCCGGCCUGAGAGGGUGGACGGCCGCAUUGGGACUGAGAUACGGCCCCGACUCCUACGGGAGGCAGCAGUGGGGAGUAUUGCACAAUGGGCGGAAGCCUGAUGCAGCGACGCCGCGUGGGGGAUGACGGCCUUCGGGUUGUAAACUCCUUUCGACCGCGAGGAAGCCACCUGGUUGGAAGGGUGGUGACGGUAGUGGUAGAAGAAGCACCGGCUAACUACGUG